CACGGGGAGGUGAGGACAGAGUCAGAGAACCACAACUCAGGAGCUGGCCCCCUCCCUGCAGCAAUUGUGUUGGUCACAGAGGCCUCAGCACUGAGGUCACCAUCCUGGCAAAUAGAGAGAGCCUGGUGAGCAAUUUAACGUCAGUCUCUGAGCUGCAUCUGUGAGGGAAGACCCAACUCAGGAGUCUGGGGAAGUGACCCCAUCAGAAACUGGGAUUCUCCGUUGGGCCUGGUUGAAUGCUAGAGCCACACAGGAAGCAGAGGAGUAGACUCAGGCAUGGAAGAAACUGUGGUCCUGGACCCUGCAGCUGUCCCUGGUGGCUCCUAGUUGAAGGUACAGUGGUCAUCCCCACUUGUGGCUGCUGAACUGGACUCCACCAUUUCCCAAGGUGCAUGAGUGUGUUGACUUAAAAUCAUUGAAGCUGCUUAUUCUCCCUUAUAGGAAUUCUAUGCUAAUUUUUCUGGAUUUUAGAAAUGGACCUACAGCAUCGCCAAGCCUAUUGUACAGAAUGGGUAGAACUUACAGGAAUCCUCCAGCACUGUGUAGUCGGCGAUCUGAAUGGCGAUGUUUGAGCAGAACUUUUUCUGUAACUCUAGGAAUUCCCUCUUAAAGUGAUAAGAAAUUUAUAUAGAAUAUUGAAUAUAAUAAUCAUCGGUUUCUAAAACCACCUAUUAGAUAUAUGUUUUUAAGGUGUUUAAAAAUAUCCUCCUAUCUGUAUCAAGUUCACCACCUGGUUUAGGAAUUUCAUUGUGGAGUAGGGUAUG
This 764-nucleotide long non-coding RNA is filed under the name Marmota monax (woodchuck). The record is from RNAcentral. Lineage: Eukaryota; Metazoa; Chordata; Mammalia; Rodentia; Sciuridae.